RNAcentral lists this non-coding RNA (860 nucleotides) under Popenaias popeii. The record is from RNAcentral. Lineage: Eukaryota; Metazoa; Mollusca; Bivalvia; Unionida; Unionidae.
AAAGUAUUUCAUUGACGUACACAAUUAGCUUUAUUUAUUUAACUACAUAUGGUAGCUCAGGCAUAUUGUGUACCCAGGGUCAACACUAGUAAUUAAUCUUUAAAAGGUUAAGUACCAAGUAUAAUAACCCAAGACUCCUAAUCUAGUCUAAGGUUCAUCCCACAACACCAAUGUCUUAUAUUAUAAUAGUUAGGCAACUAAGCCAUAGAAAUAAAUAUUAAAGGGAUGGCAAAAGUGGUGCCAGCAGUCGCGGUUAUACCUCUACCCCAAGUUAACUUUCAACGAACUUAGGAUAAUUCUAAUAAGGACUUCAAGACCAACUUUUAAUGUAAAAAGUAUAUUAUAAAUACACCCGAUCAAGUCCUAUUUAUCCUUAUCCUCACAAACCACAACCUCAGAACUCGGAUUAGAUACCCGACUACUGUGUGGCCUAACCUACAAAAGAAUACUACAAACGAAAGUUUAAAACUCAAACAAUGUGGCGGUGCUUUACUCCUCAUCAGGGGAUCCUGUGACUUAAAUCGAUAAUCCACGAUACACCCAAGCUCUUCUUGUAUCACAGCUUGUGUAUGGCCGUUUAAGCUUGCUCAAAAAAGAUAUUAAAGGAAGCAAUUUAGGACUACAACCCUAACAAUUCAGGUGACAUACAGCCAAUGAAGAGCCGCCUCAUGGGAUACAAAUAGCCAAAACUACUGAAAUCUAACCUUUAAAAUUAGAUGAAAGAGGACUUGAAAGUAAGGUCAACGCACCAAGUAGACCUGAACAAGAACUAAAGCGCGUACAAAUCGCCCGUCACUCCGACAGUAAAGUCGGAUAAGUCGUAACAUAGUAGGAGUAAUGGAAAUUGCCCCUAUAUAUAC